Molecule: non-coding RNA, 391 nt
Rfam family: transfer-messenger RNA
About the family: Bacterial tmRNA, also known as 10Sa RNA or SsrA, is named for its dual tRNA and mRNA-like properties.
Source: Rfam
GGGGGCGUUACGGAUUCGACGACGGUAACGAAACCUGCGGUGCAUGCCGUGAUGGUAGCCAAUCACGUAAAUCCAAAGCUGCAAACUAUUAGUUGCCAAUGACGACAACUACGGUGCACAACUGGCUGCGUAAGUAGCCCUUUGUAACACCAUCCAGGUGCUUCGGCCCUGGCGGUCUAUAGUAAGGUGCCAGUACCGCGCUUGUGACUGUCAUAUAGAACUGGACCGCAGUCGGUUAUGUCCCGGGAUCGACUGUCAAACUUUACGGGGCUCGCGGCCAACGUCCUGACCGUUGGGCUGUUUGCCGUUAAAUUAAUUAACGGAAACUAAGCAUGUAGAGCCAAAGGCAGAGUACUGGCGGACGCGGGUUCAACUCCCGCCGCCUCCACCA